RNAcentral lists this ribosomal RNA (484 nucleotides) under uncultured bacterium. RNAcentral's name for it is "partial 16S ribosomal RNA". It matches the Rfam family "Bacterial small subunit ribosomal RNA", at positions 30 to 507 of the family's 1533-position model. The record is from RNAcentral.
AUUGAACGCUGGCGGCAGGCCUAACACAUGCCAGUCGAGCGGAUGAAGGGAGCUUGCUCCUGGAUUCAGCGGCGGACGGGUGAGUAAUGCCUAGGGAUCUGCCUGGUAGUGGGGGAUAACGUCCGGAAACGGGCGCUAAUACCGCAUACGUCCUGAGGGAGAAAGUGGGGGAUCUUCGGACCUCACGCUAUCAGAUGAGCCUAGGUCGGAUUAGCUAGUUGGUGGGGUAAAGGCCUACCAAGGCGACGAUCCGUAACUGGUCUGAGAGGAUGAUCAGUCACACUGGAACUGAGACACGGUCCAGACUCCUACGGGAGGCAGCAGUGGGGAAUAUUGGACAAUGGGCGAAAGCCUGAUCCAGCCAUGCCGCGUGUGUGAAGAAGGUCUUCGGAUUGUAAAGCACUUUAAGUUGGGAGGAAGGGCAGUAAGUUAAUACCUUGCUGUUUUGACGUUACCAACAGAAUAAGCACCGGCUAACUUCGUG